RNAcentral lists this ribosomal RNA (1034 nucleotides) under Fictibacillus barbaricus. RNAcentral's name for it is "bacterial SSU rRNA". It matches the Rfam family "Bacterial small subunit ribosomal RNA", at positions 532 to 1533 of the family's 1533-position model. Lineage: Bacteria; Bacillati; Bacillota; Bacilli; Caryophanales; Fictibacillaceae. The record is from RNAcentral.
GGGGGUACGUUAUCGGAAUAUUGAGGCGUAAGCGCGCGCAGGCGGUCUCUUAAGUCUGAUGUGAAAGCCCACGGCUCAACCGUGGAGGGUCAUUGGAAACUGGGAGACUUGAGUGCAGGAGAGAAAAGUGGAAUUCCACGUGUAGCGGUGAAAUGCGUAGAGAUGUGGAGGAACACCAGUGGCGAAGGCGGCUUUUUGGCCUGUAACUGACGCUGAGGCGCGAAAGCGUGGGGAGCAAACAGGAUUAGAUACCCUGGUAGUCCACGCCGUAAACGAUGAGUGCUAGGUGUUGGGGGGUUCCACCCUCAGUGCUGAAGUUAACACAUUAAGCACUCCGCCUGGGGAGUACGACCGCAAGGUUGAAACUCAAAGGAAUUGACGGGGGCCCGCACAAGCAGUGGAGCAUGUGGUUUAAUUCGAAGCAACGCGAAGAACCUUACCAGGUCUUGACAUCCUCUGACCACUCUAGAGAUAGAGCUUUCCCCUUCGGGGGACAGAGUGACAGGUGGUGCAUGGUUGUCGUCAGCUCGUGUCGUGAGAUGUUGGGUUAAGUCCCGCAACGAGCGCAACCCUUGACCUUAGUUGCCAGCAUUCAGUUGGGCACUCUAAGGUGACUGCCGGUGACAAACCGGAGGAAGGUGGGGAUGACGUCAAAUCAUCAUGCCCCUUAUGACCUGGGCUACACACGUGCUACAAUGGAUGGUACAAAGGGUUGCGAAGCCGCGAGGCCAAGCCAAUCCCAAAAAGCCAUUCUCAGUUCGGAUUGUAGGCUGCAACUCGCCUACAUGAAGCCGGAAUUGCUAGUAAUCGCGGAUCACCAUGGCCGCGGGUGGAAUACCGUUCCCGGGGCCUUGUACACACCGGCCCGUCACACCACGAAGAGUUUGUAACACCCGAAGUCCGGUGGGGUAACCCCUUUUGGGAGCCAGCCGCCGAAGGUGGGACAGAUGAUUGGGGGUGAAGUCGUAACAAGGUAGCCGUAUCGGAAGGCGGGGGGGGCCCCCCCCUUAUAUAUAUAUAAAAGGGGGAAGGGG